UCGUGCAAUGGUUGCCCUUAGGUCAUUUAUUGCAAGUGGGCCUUGGACCUUGAUUGGUGGCUGAAUAGCCUUUUGGACUGUAGUGGGUAUGAUGUUGUUGUUGUGAGCCUUUGGGCUUUGGACUUAAUGGCCCAAUUGGUACUCAAUUGGGAGCCCAAACAGGGAGUAUCUUCUCGUAGUAUAGAAUAACAUCAACGUUGUUACUCCGGCACAUUUUUAACAAAUUCCAAAUCCAAAUACCCGAAAAUGAGACCCGUUUGUUAGGUGGGCCACACGUGACCGAAGUGAGCAUGUUAUAAUUCUCCUCGACAAUCUAAAAAUCUAAAAUAAUAUUAUCACAUUAGCGAGCGAGAACAAGAGAGCAGUGGAUUGGGUAUUGACAAUUAUUGAAAUAACAGAGAAAUGCAUCUAUGGCCAUCAGUGAAGGUUAGGGACUCUUUCAAGUCAGAUUACUUGAAUAAUAUUCACAGAAUCAAUAAUCAGCAGAUCCAAUCGUCUCAACCUCCUUCAAAUCAGCUCAAUUUUGGGGCUUUCACUUUCUGUAGGGAACUUCUCUUCAUCUUUACUUGUUGUUUCUGCUUUGGAAUUGGAGAAAAAUCUGAAGAAGAUGACGUUGGUUGUCUUUAGCUGACGUCGCCAAUUUAUUAACUACUGUACCUUAACAAGGAUUCAACAGCCUCGUUCCAAACUUUGAAUAAGCAGUAUCAUGAUUUCAUCCUGUACAAGUAUAAUGUGUUGUUCAAUUAUUAUGUUUCCCCCUUUUUUCUACUAGGGUGGACAUGAAUUGAACAUAACUAUUUGUGAAUAAUCCGAAAUCAGUUCAGUCAAAGUUCGAUUCAAGCUCGAUUUGUUUAUUAAUGAGCCUUGCUUGAGCUUACAAUUACAUGUAGUUCGAAUAUUAAUUAAUGAGUCAAACUCAAUUAAAUGUUGCUCAGUUCGAAAA
Long non-coding RNA from Spinacia oleracea (spinach), 943 nucleotides. RefSeq lists it as uncharacterized. The transcript has 2 exons. Lineage: Eukaryota; Viridiplantae; Streptophyta; Magnoliopsida; Caryophyllales; Amaranthaceae. The record is from RefSeq and is a predicted model, not a curated record.